RNAcentral lists this small nuclear RNA (19 nucleotides) under Arabidopsis thaliana (thale cress). RNAcentral describes it as "snRNA_04526". The record is from RNAcentral. Lineage: Eukaryota; Viridiplantae; Streptophyta; Magnoliopsida; Brassicales; Brassicaceae.
GGGAAGAGCCCAGCUUGAA